RNAcentral lists this long non-coding RNA (1032 nucleotides) under Felis catus (domestic cat). Its description in RNAcentral is "lncRNA (ENSFCAG00000048408.1)". The record is from RNAcentral. Lineage: Eukaryota; Metazoa; Chordata; Mammalia; Carnivora; Felidae.
AUGGCGGGGGCGGGGCUCGGCGGCUCGCCAGCCAGGGCCGGGGGGGAGGGAAACAAGAUGGCGGCUGCGGGAGGGGGUCCUCGCUUUUCAGCUCCCCCCUCACCCGCCUUCUCCUUCCCCGCCGCCGCCCUCGCUCCAGGAGAGCGCUUUCGCGCCGCCCCCGCCCCGCUCGGGAAGCCCCCUGCUUUCCACUCCCUGCCCCCCCCCCCCCGCGCGCAGUCCCUGGUCCCCGUAGGCCCCGCUGCCCCCGCCCCCGCUCCGUUCGGCCCCUCUGCCACCCCCAUUACCUCAGCCGCCGGCCCGGCCCCACCGUUCGGGGCCCCUGGGCGCGGGCGGGCCGGCCGUCGAGCAGGUCGGCGCGGCCCUGGGAGCGGAGCGCGGCCUCCUCCCGCGCUAGCCUCCGCGGCCACCGCCGUGCCCCCUCCCGGCCCGCGCAGGGGCCCCGGCCCGGCCGCCGCCGCCGCUCCCGGGGGAGGAGGGGGAAUGAAGCCGCUGCCGCCGCCGCUGCCGCCACGGAGCCCGGCCGAGGGGAGGGAGGGAUCAGCCCCCAGGCAGGAUCCGCCCCUCCGGCCUCCCCCCCGCCACCUCCACCCCUUCCCUCGCUCCCUCCCUGGCUCCGCGGGCUCUCCCGCUGAACAGGAGCGAGAGCGCGAAAGAGGGGGGAACGCGAAGAAAAUCCCCCCGCCCGUGCCCGGCGCAGCGGCGGCCGGGGCGGCGCGGAGAGGAGCGCGGAGCCGCCGCCGCCACGGGGCACCGUCCCCGGCUCGGCCUCACGGUGGCGGUGCGGACGCGGCAGGGGCGCGGAGCAGAGACCGGCUCUGCGCCCGCCGCGGCCGUGGCUCACCCCGGCAUACCCCGCCGCCGGGCGAACCCCACAAGACAGCGGGGGACGUUCGGGUCUGGUUGGGAAAGACCGGCAUCCCUAACUCCUUAGAGUGGUCAGUCGUCCACUCCCCCUGCUCCUGCGAGAGGUGGCUACGGUUUGGGGCAACAAACCCCCUACCCGCGCUUGAGGGCCCCUCCAGAGGUUAA